AUACGUAGGUGACAAGCGUUAUCCGGAUUUACUGGGCGUAAAGGGCGUGUAGGCGGUCUUGCAAGUCAGAAGUGAAAUUCCUGAGCUCAACUCGGGCGCUGCUGCUGAAACUGCAGGACUUGAGUGCUGGAGGGGAUAGCGGAAUUCCUAGUGGAGCGGUAAAAUGCGCAGAUAUUAGGAAGAACACCGGUGGCGAAGGCGGCUAUCUGGACAGUAACUGACGCUGAGGCGCGAAAGCGUGGGGAGCAAACAGGAUUAGAUACCCUGGUAGUCCACGCUGUAAACGAUGAAUACUAGGUGUGGGGGGACUGACCCCCUCCGUGCCGCAGUUAACACAAUAAGUAUUCCACCUGGGGAGUACGAUCGCAAGAUUGAAACUCAAAUGAAUUGACGGGG
Molecule: ribosomal RNA, 396 nt
Filed under: uncultured bacterium
Lineage: Bacteria
Description: partial 16S ribosomal RNA
Rfam family: Bacterial small subunit ribosomal RNA
Source: RNAcentral